Molecule: ribosomal RNA, 565 nt
Filed under: uncultured bacterium
Lineage: Bacteria
Description: bacterial SSU rRNA
Rfam family: Bacterial small subunit ribosomal RNA
Source: RNAcentral
CCUACGGGAGGCAGCAGUGGGGAAUAUUGCACAAUGGGCGCAAGCCUGAUGCAGCAACGCCGCGUGAGGGACGACGGCCUUCGGGUUGUAAACCUCUUUUAGUAGGGAAGAAGCGAAAGUGACGGUACCUGCAGAAAAAGCACCGGCUAACUACGUGCCAGCAGCCGCGGUAAUACGUAGGGUGCAAGCGUUAUCCGGAAUUAUUGGGCGUAAAGAGCUCGUAGGCGGUUUGUCGCGUCUGCUGUGAAAACUGGAGGCUCAACCUCCAGCCUGCAGUGGGUACGGGCAAACUAGAGUGCGGUAGGGGAGAUUGGAAUUCCUGGUGUAGCGGUGGAAUGCGCAGAUAUCAGGAGGAAUACCGAUGGCGAAGGCAGAUCUCUGGGCCGUAACUGACGCUGAGGAGCGAAAGCAUGGGGAGCGAACAGGAUUAGAUACCCUGGUAGUCCAUGCCGUAAACGUUGGGCGCUAGAUGUGGGGACCAUCCACGGUUUCCGUGUCGCAGCUAACGCAUUAAGCGCCCGCCUGGGGAGUACGGCCGCAAGGCAAAACGUUAAAGAAUUGACGG